Molecule: long non-coding RNA, 631 nt
Filed under: Gallus gallus (chicken)
Lineage: Eukaryota; Metazoa; Chordata; Aves; Galliformes; Phasianidae
Description: long non-coding RNA NONGGAT003639
Source: RNAcentral
CAGGAUCUAAGCUUGCCUCCAGGCUCAAGGCUGUUUGAAAUCCAGUGUGUUCCUGACCUUCCCAGGUUGAAUUUCCAUGGGACAGCUGAAAUCUCCAGCACUGGUGUAAGGCUGAAGCUGGCUGGCUACCCUGCUCAAGGGAGGGUUUCAUAGAGAGAAGGAAGCUUCUUCUAAAGCUGCAUCCAGGAGUUGGACUCAAAGGCCUUUAUGAUUCCCUUCCAACUUGGGAUAUUCUGGUUCUGUCUCCACUGCACUGGGGGCUGGACAAGACAAUCUCCAGAGAUCCCUUCCAACCCCUAGGAUUAUGUGGGUCUGUGGAUGCUGAAUUGUUAGAGGCUGUCCUCUGUGCCACCCAAGAGCUCCUUGCAGACAUAAUUUUGAAGUCCUGGUCAAGGGUGCAAAGUGUCCAACUGUAGCAUAUGGCUCAUUUUUCUCUGAAGCACCAUGCCUGUGCUGUGCUGAAAUAUUUAGCAGAUAAGGAGCACUUGUUCCUCUGGACCUGAGAUGCCAAUUUCAUCCUGGACAGUUUUUUCCUGAAGUGAGGAUUUAGGGUGCUGAGGAAAGCCAUAAUCUCUCCUUUUGGUGCCCUCCUUGGUGUUUCGCUGAAGUUCAAUGGCUGACAACAUGCAGG